This 439-nucleotide ribosomal RNA is filed under the name uncultured bacterium. RNAcentral's name for it is "partial 16S ribosomal RNA". It matches the Rfam family "Bacterial small subunit ribosomal RNA", at positions 339 to 795 of the family's 1533-position model. The record is from RNAcentral.
CUACGGGAGGCAGCAGUGGGGAAUCUUAGACAAUGGGGGAAACCCUGAUCUAGCCAUGCCGCGUGAGUGAUGAAGGCCUUAGGGUCGUAAAGCUCUUUCGCCAGGGAAGAUAAUGACGGUACCUGGUAAAGAAACCCCGGCUAACUCCGUGCCAGCAGCCGCGGUAAUACGGAGGGGGUUAGCGUUGUUCGGAAUUACUGGGCGUAAAGCGCGCGUAGGCGGAUUGUUAAGUCGGGGGUGAAAUCCCGGGGCUCAACCCCGGAACUGCCCUCGAUACUGGCAGUCUUGAGUUCGAGAGAGGUGAGUGGAAUUCCGAGUGUAGAGGUGAAAUUCGUAGAUAUUCGGAGGAACAUCAGUGGCGAAGGCGACUCACUGGCUCGAUACUGACGCUGAGGUGCGAAAGUGUGGGGAGCAAACAGGAUUAGAUACCCGUGUAGUC